RNAcentral lists this ribosomal RNA (500 nucleotides) under uncultured bacterium. RNAcentral's name for it is "bacterial SSU rRNA". It matches the Rfam family "Bacterial small subunit ribosomal RNA", at positions 8 to 522 of the family's 1533-position model. The record is from RNAcentral.
AGAGUUUGAUCAUGGCUCAGGACAAACGCUGGCGGCGUGCUUAACACAUGCAAGUCGAACGGUGAUGACGGGGCUUGCCUUGUCGGAUCAGUGGCGAACGGGUGAGUAACACGUGAGUAACCUGCCCCAGACUCUGGGAUAACUCCGGGAAACCGGAGCUAAUACCGGAUAGGACCCUUGGACGCAUGUUCUGGGGGUGGAAAGAUUUUUUCGGUUUGGGAUGGGCUCGCGGCCUAUCAGCUUGUUGGUGAGGUAACGGCUCACCAAGGCUUCGACGGGUAGCUGGUCUGAGAGGACGACCAGCCACACUGGGACUGAGACACGGCCCAGACUCCUACGGGAGGCAGCAGCAGGGAAUCUUGCGCAAUGGGCGAAAGCCUGACGCAGCGACGCCGCGUGGGGGAUGAAGGCCUUCGGGUUGUAAACCCCUUUCAGGAGGGACGAUAAUGACGGUACCUCCAGAAGAAGCCCCGGCCAACUACGUGCCAGCAGCCGCGGUA